UACGUAGGGUGCGAGCGUUAAUCGGAAUUACUGGGCGUAAAGCGUGCGCAGGCGGUUUUGUAAGCCAGAUGUGAAAUCCCCGGGCUUAACCUGGGAAUGGCAUUUGGGACUGCAAGGCUGGAGUGUGGCAGAGGAGACUGGAAUUCUUGGUGUAGCAGUGAAAUGCGUAGAUAUCAAGAGGAACACCAGUGGCGAAGGCGAGUCCCUGGACGAUACCUGACACUGAGGCACGAAAGCUAGGGGAGCAAACAGG
This 253-nucleotide ribosomal RNA is filed under the name uncultured bacterium. RNAcentral describes it as "partial 16S ribosomal RNA". It matches the Rfam family "Bacterial small subunit ribosomal RNA", at positions 524 to 776 of the family's 1533-position model. The record is from RNAcentral.